GUCUGAGGGUGAGAGUGGUUCAGAGUGUUUUUUAUGGUUUUUGCAAAGAAAUUUAAUUAUGUUUGAAGGGUUGUGUUCUGUACAUCUCAAGGAAACAUUGCUGAAAAACCACGUUCCUAAGAACAAAUCCUGUCAUUGGGGAAGCUUUUUAAAAUUUGGUUCCAGUUUCUGAUAGCGAUUUUUUUUUCAAGAUCAAGCGCACACGAAGUAAAAUAAGAGCAAGAACACAUUUUAAUGCGAUGAUUAAUUGCGAAACCGCCUCCGGGCACAAAAUUCCGUCGGCCUAGCUACGAGAGCUCAGUAGGCCAGUUCCGCUGCUGGACGACGAUGACGACGACGGUGCUAAUCACUCAAGUAACCUGCGCCAACUACCCGGCCUACUGCUCCAUGGGACGUUCAUCGUGGGUCUAUGUGCAAACCCAGCACGGCCUACUGACGUCAACCAGCAGCAGCCAGUAGCCGGGAACAGCAUUCUAUCCCUAAUCGAACCGGGUUCCCGCAGCAGUCAAGUCAAGUGGCCGCGUGAGUGUCACUUGCAUCACGCGUUCCAUAAAUUGCUUCGCGCGCGCUCCCUCUCCUGUCACAACACAGCAGUAACUUCCAAACGGGUAAUUUUACUGCGCAUUAGAAGGGAAUUUGUUCGGACGCAAUCAUCCACGGCCAGAGGGGCUAGGCUAAGCCAGGUUGAGCUAAGCCGUGAGCCGAUUAAGUGCUGCUCGGUAAGGUAGUUAACAGCUGAAAAGUAUACCCACCUUCGCGUCGCGGGGGCAAAGCUGUUAAGGGCCGCAGAACUUUGCGCGAAGAUUACGUAAGGAUCCAUGCUAGCCUGAAAGAGGAUUGUCACGAAACGAGGGGAGAGAUGACGGCUUCCGAUGAUGGCGAUUCCAGGUUGGGAGAUUGCUUUAAAGAUUGCAGGGAGUUAAGACAAACCUGCUAAAGACAGUCAAGUAAUCAACAGAAAUGUUGAAAUCUAAGAUUGAUGUUUAUUUUAGGUAUUAUAUUUUCCAUUUUUACCAAUAACUGUAUCCGUGAUGUAUUGGUUAUCAAAUCCGCCUAACAUGCGCAUUAUGG
Molecule: long non-coding RNA, 1071 nt
Organism: Culex pipiens pallens (northern house mosquito)
Lineage: Eukaryota; Metazoa; Arthropoda; Insecta; Diptera; Culicidae
Exons: 3
Source: RefSeq, a predicted model, not a curated record